GAUGAAGAACGUAGCGAAAUGCGAUAAGUAAUGUGAAUUGCAGAAUUCAGUGAAUCAUCGAAUCUUUGAACGCACAUUGCGCCCGUCAGUAUUCUGGCGGGCAUGCCUGUUCGAGCGUCAUUACGCCCCUCAAGUCCCCUGUGGACUUGGUGUUGGGGAUCGGCGAGGCUGGUUUUCCAGCACAGCCGUCCCUUAAAUUAAUUGGCGGUCUCGCCGUGGCCCUCCUCUGCGCAGUAGUAAAACACUCGCAACAGGAGCCCGGCGCGGUCCCCUGCCGUAAAACCCCCCAACUUUUUAUAGUUGACCUCGAAUCAGGUAGGACUACCCGCUGAACUUAAGCAUAUCAAUAAGCGGAGGA
RNAcentral lists this unclassified non-coding RNA (358 nucleotides) under soil metagenome. Its description in RNAcentral is "partial contains 5.8S ribosomal RNA, internal transcribed spacer 2, and large subunit ribosomal RNA". The stretch from base 1 to 120 matches the Rfam family "5.8S ribosomal RNA", at positions 35 to 154 of the family's 154-position model. The record is from RNAcentral.